RNAcentral lists this ribosomal RNA (568 nucleotides) under uncultured archaeon. Its description in RNAcentral is "bacterial SSU rRNA". It matches the Rfam family "Archaeal small subunit ribosomal RNA", at positions 326 to 900 of the family's 1478-position model. The record is from RNAcentral.
CGGGGUGCACCAGGCGCGAAAACUCUACAAUGCAGGCAACUGCGAUAGGGGAACAUCGAGUGAUACUCAUCUUGGGUGUCUGUCCUCCCGUCUAAAAAACGGGAGUUAGCAAGGGCCGGGCAAGACCGGUGCCAGCCGCCGCGGUAAUACCGGCGGCUCGAGUGGUGGCCGAUAUUAUUGAGUCUAAAGGGUCCGUAGCCGGCUUUGCAAGUCUUUUGGGAAAUCCAGCGGCUUAACCGUUGGUCGUCCGGGAGAUACUACAUUGCUUGGGACUGGGAGAGGUAGGAGGUACUCAGGGGGUAGGAGUGAAAUCCUGUAAUCCUUUGGGGACCACCGGUGGCGAAGGCGUCCUACCAGAACAGGUCCGACGGUGAGGGACGAAAGCUAGGGGCACGAACCGGAUUAGAUACCCGGGUAGUCCUAGCCGUAAACGAUGCUCGCUAGGUGUCACAACAAUCGUGAAUUGUUGUGGUGCCGUAGGGAAGCCGUGAAGCGAGCCACUUGGGAAGUACGACCGCAAGGUUGAAACUUAAAGGAAUUGGCGGGGGAGCACAAGGGCGAAUCGCGG